This 420-nucleotide ribosomal RNA is filed under the name uncultured bacterium. RNAcentral describes it as "bacterial SSU rRNA". It matches the Rfam family "Bacterial small subunit ribosomal RNA", at positions 357 to 774 of the family's 1533-position model. The record is from RNAcentral.
AGGAAUAUUGGGCAAUGCCCGCAAGGGUGACCCAGCAACGCCGCGUGGAGGAUGAAUGUCGUAAGAUUGUAAACUCCUGUUGGAGGGGAAGAAUAGUACCGGUUGGACCGGUAUAUGACUGUACCCUCAGAGAAAGCCCCGGCUAACUACGUGCCAGCAGCCGCGGUAAUACGUAGGGGGCAAGCGUUGUCCGGAUUUACUGGGUGUAAAGGGCGCGCAGGCGGGAUAAAAAGUCAGUGGUGAAACCCUACAGCUUAACUGUAGAACUGCUUUUGAUACUUUUAUUCUUGAGUUCGGGAGAGAGAGACGGAAUUCCAGGUGUAGUGGUGAAAUACGUAGAUAUCUGGAAGAACACCAGUUGCGAAGGCGGUCUCUUGGUCCGACACUGACGCUGAGGCGCGAAAGCGUGGGGAGCAAACA